This 442-nucleotide ribosomal RNA is filed under the name uncultured bacterium. RNAcentral's name for it is "partial 16S ribosomal RNA". It matches the Rfam family "Bacterial small subunit ribosomal RNA", at positions 338 to 795 of the family's 1533-position model. The record is from RNAcentral.
CCUACGGGGGGCAGCAGUGGGGAAUAUUGGGCAAUGGGCGCAAGCCUGACCCAGCAACGCCGCGUGAAGGAAGAAGGCUUUCGGGUUGUAAACUUCUUUUGUCAGGGAAGAGUAGAAGACGGUACCUGACGAAUAAGCCACGGCUAACUACGUGCCAGCAGCCGCGGUAAUACGUAGGUGGCAAGCGUUGUCCGGAUUUACUGGGUGUAAAGGGCGUGUAGCCGGGUUGACAAGUCAGAUGUGAAAUCCUGCGGCUUAACCGCAGAACUGCAUUUGAAACUGUUGAUCUUGAGUACUGGAGAGGCAGGCGGAAUUACUAGUGUAGCGGUGAAAUGCGUAGAUAUUAGGAGGAACACCAGAGGCGAAGGCGGUCUGCUGGACAGCAACUGACGGUGAGGCGCGAAAGCGUGGGGAGCAAACAGGAUUAGAUACCCGAGUAGUC